GGAAGGUAGCGUACUGGGUACAAAGCGGUUUUGAACGCCGUGCUCUCUUAACUGGGAAUAGUUCGAUUCUAUUACCUUCCGCCA
This 84-nucleotide transfer RNA is filed under the name Acinetobacter phage nACB1. Its description in RNAcentral is "tRNA-OTHER". The record is from RNAcentral. Lineage: Duplodnaviria; Heunggongvirae; Uroviricota; Caudoviricetes; Schitoviridae.